RNAcentral lists this unclassified non-coding RNA (488 nucleotides) under Hevea brasiliensis (rubber tree). The record is from RNAcentral. Lineage: Eukaryota; Viridiplantae; Streptophyta; Magnoliopsida; Malpighiales; Euphorbiaceae.
AGCUUUGUUUGAUGAGAUGCCUGAGAUGAAUAUGGUUUCAUGGAGUGUAAUGUUAAAUGCUUAUUCAAAAGCCGGGUUUAUUGAUUUGGCUAAAGUGGUGUUUCAGAGGAUCCCAUAUAAAGAUGUGGUUUCGUGGGGUAUUAUAAUUCAUGGUUAUGUUCGAGUAGGGAAUUUAAGUGAAGCUUUCAUGAUGUAUCGAUUGAUAGUAUCUACAGGGUUGGGACCUAAUGAUGCUAUGAUGGUCGAUUUGAUUUCUGCAUGUGGAAGAACAAUGGCGAUUGUCAAAGGUCAGCAAUUACGCAGUACUAUUGUGAAGAUGGGUUUUGACUGUUAUGAUUUUAUAGAGGCAACUGUUACCCUUUUUUAUGCAGCUUGUGGCAUGAUUAAUGAGGCUUGUUUGCAAUUUGGAAUGGGUAGCAAGGACAAUGUAGCUUCUUGGAAUGCUCUCAUUGCAGGAUUUAUACGGAAUAGAAUGAUUGAUCAGGCAA